AUGGUGUGUCCCCGAUUUUGCCUUCUUCCUCGGCAACUUGGCCCAAUCUGCUUGUCCCUGACAAGAUUGCAUUUGGCGCAGCUGGACUGGAUGGUGCCCCCGAGAUUCAGAUGCGGAGCCGGCGCGCGCCGGCGGCUGGCCCCGCUGCUGCUGCUCCUGGCCCUCGCUCCGGCCGCCGUGGCGGCCGUGGGCGGCGACGUGGAGUACCCGCAUUGCAGCUGCGACGGCGGGGGCGGCGGCGGGUUCUGGAGCAUGGACAACAUCUUCCGGUGGCAGAAGGUGAGCGACCUGCUGAUCGCGGCGGCCUACUUCUCCAUCCCGCUCGAGAUCCUCUACUUCGUGGCCGGGCUCCGCCACCUGCUCCCGUUCCGGUGGGUGCUGGUCCAGUUCGGCGCCUUCAUCGUGCUCUGCGGCCUCACCCACCUGCUCGCCGCCUUCACCUACGAGCCCCACCCCUUCGUGCUCGUGCUGCUGCUCACCGUCGCCAAGUUCCUCACCGCGCUCGUUUCCUUCCUCACCGCCAUCACGUUGCUCACGCUCAUCCCGCAGCUGCUCCGCGUCAAGGUCCGCGAGAGCCUGCUCUGGAUCAAGGCCCGCGAGCUCGACCGCGAGGUCGACCUCAUGAAGCAGCAGGAGGAGGCGAGCUGGCACGUCAGGAUGCUCACGCAGGAGAUCCGCAAGUCGCUCGACCGCCACACCGUGCUCUACACCACGCUCAUCGAGCUCUCCCGCGUGCUCGGCCUCACCAACUGUGCCGUCUGGAUGCCCUCCGCGGCUGCCAGCGACGGCAAGGUUACGAUGCACCUCACCCAUGAGCUCCGGCGCGGGGGCAGCGAUGAGGGGCUCGUCGUUAUUGGAGUGGACGACGUGGAUGUUGUCGAGGUCCGGAGGAGCGACGGCGUGAAGCUGCUAGGCCCGGGCUCGGCGCUCGCGGCGGCUAGCGGUGGGGGCAAGGAGGACACGGGGACCGUGGCGGCGAUACGGAUGCCGAUGCUCAAGGUGUCGGACUUCAAGGGUGGCACGCCUGAGGUGAUCCAGACGAGCUACGCCGUGCUGGUGCUGGUGCCGCCUGCGGACAAGACCUGGGGCGCACACGAGACGGAGAUCGUCGAGGUGGUUGCCGACCAGGUGGCUGUCGCGCUCUCGCACGCGUCGCUGCUCGAGGAGUCGCAGGCCAUGCGUGACCGUCUCGCUGAGCAGAACCGCGAGCUGCUGCAGGCGCGGCGGGACACGCUCAUGGCGAACGAGGCCCGGGACGCAUUCCAGCGCGUCAUGAGCCAGGGGAUGCGCCGGCCGAUCCACUCCAUCCUCGGCCUCGUGUCCGUGGUGCAGGAGGAUGACCUGACGCCCGAGCAGAAGCUCGUCGUUGACACCAUGGGCCGGACGGCCACCGUCGUCUCCACGCUCAUCAACGACGUCAUGGAGAUGUCGGCCACCAACCGGGAGCGCUUCCCGCUGGAGACGCGGCCGUUCCAGCUGCACUCCAUGAUCAGGGACGCCGCCUGCGUCUCGCGGUGCCUCUGUGACUUCAGGGGGUUUGGCUUCGCCGUGCACGUCGAGAACACGCUGCCGAACCUUGUCAUCGGCGACGAGAGGAGGAUCUUCCAUGUCAUCCUUCACAUGGUUGGCAACCUCAUCAGCCGGAUUGACUCGGGGCACGUCAUGUUCCGGGUGCGUGCCGACGACGAGGUGGCGGAGGACACCCUUGGACAGAGGUGGGAUCCAUGGAGGCCAAGCUACUCGAGUGGGUACUCUUCGGUGAAGUUUGUCAUCGGGGUGAAGAGCCAGCAGAGCCUCGGCCCGAUGAUCCCGCCCACGGGGCAGUUCAAACGGAAGCCGAGUGGCGAGGGCUUCGAUCUCCGGCUCAGCUUCAGCAUGUGCAGAAAGCUUGUGCAGAUGAUGAGAGGCAACAUAUGGGCGGUGCUAGACGGGCAAGGGCUCCCGGAGAGUAUGACCCUGGUGCUGAGGUUCCAGCUACAGCCACCGGCGCCGCUAGUGUCAUCGAGCACCAGUGGAGGAUCAUUCGAGCGGCAAUAUGCGUCGCCGUCGUGCCAGCUGACUGGACUGAAGAUCCUGCUCAUAGACGAUGAUGACAUCAACAUGGUCGUUGCGCGGAAGCUCCUGGAGAAGCUCGGCUGUGUGGUUUCCUCGCUGCCCUCUGGGUCGGGGUUCCUGAACUCUGUCGGCCCCUCGUCGGGCGCGUACCAGGUGGUCCUGGUGAACCUCGAGAUGACGCGGGUGAACGCGCUGGACGUCGCGGUGAGGGUCCAGCAGUACCGCAGUGGCCGCUGGCCGUUCGUGAUGGCCAUGACGUCGGAGCAGAACGCGUGGGAGAAGUGCGCGCAGUCCGGGAUCAACGGCAUCCUCAGGAAGCCGGUGGUCAUGCUGGAGGCGAAGGAGGAGCUCACCCGGAUUCUUCAGAGCGCAUGA
Molecule: ribosomal RNA, 2430 nt
Filed under: Triticum aestivum (bread wheat)
Lineage: Eukaryota; Viridiplantae; Streptophyta; Magnoliopsida; Poales; Poaceae
Description: partial small subunit ribosomal RNA
Source: RNAcentral